UACGGAGGGUGCAAGCGUUGUUCGGAAUUACUGGGCGUAAAGCGCGUGUAGGCGGCCGAUUAAGUCUGGUGUGAAAGCCCGGGGCUCACCCCCGGAAGUGCGCUGGAAACUGGUCGGCUAGAGUAUGGGAGAGGAAAGUGGAAUUCCCGGUGUAGCGGUGAAAUGCGUAGAUAUUGGGAGGAACACCAGCGGCGAAGGCGGCUUUCUGGACCAAUACUGACGCUGAGACGCGAAAGCGUGGGGAGCAAACAGG
RNAcentral lists this ribosomal RNA (253 nucleotides) under uncultured bacterium. RNAcentral's name for it is "partial 16S ribosomal RNA". It matches the Rfam family "Bacterial small subunit ribosomal RNA", at positions 524 to 776 of the family's 1533-position model. The record is from RNAcentral.